AUUGAACGCUGGCGGUAUGCUUAACACAUGCAAGUCGAACGGUAACAGGCCUUCGGGCGCUGACGAGUGGCGGACGGGUGAGUAACGCGUAGGAAUCUGCCUCAUAGUGGGGGACAACGUGGGGAAACUCACGCUAAUACCGCAUACGCCCUACGGGGGAAAGCGGGGGAUCUUCGGACCUCGCGCUAUGAGAUGAGCCUGCGUUAGAUUAGCUAGUUGGUAGGGUAAAGGCCUACCAAGGCGACGAUCUAUAGCUGGUCUGAGAGGACGAUCAGCCACACUGGGACUGAGACACGGCCCAGACUCCCUACGGGGAGGCAGCAGUGGAGAAUAUUGGACAAUGGGCGAAAGCCUGAUCCAGCAAUGCCGCGGUGAGUGAUGAAGGCCUUAGGGUUGUAAAGCUCUUUUACAGGGAUGAUAAUGACAGUACCUGGGAGAAUAAGCUCCGGCUAACUCGUGCCAGCAGCCG
RNAcentral lists this ribosomal RNA (469 nucleotides) under uncultured bacterium. RNAcentral's name for it is "bacterial SSU rRNA". It matches the Rfam family "Bacterial small subunit ribosomal RNA", at positions 30 to 517 of the family's 1533-position model. The record is from RNAcentral.